Canis lupus familiaris (dog) is the source of this 178-nucleotide non-coding RNA. NCBI's taxonomy places the organism in Eukaryota, Metazoa, Chordata, Mammalia, Carnivora, Canidae. The record is from Rfam.
CUGACCACACUCCACCGGGCCUUGUUCCGAGGUACCUGGGUGUCUUUGGCACACACCAGUCAUCAUGAUGGUUCUUGGUAAGGGGGGGCUGGGCUCCCAGGUUCUCUCCUUUGAGGGGCCAGUUGGCAGCCCUUUUGGUGUUUGCAGUUUGCCAUGAGGGACACUGAGAGUUGAAGAU